Long non-coding RNA from Siniperca chuatsi (mandarin fish), 1647 nucleotides. RefSeq lists it as uncharacterized. The record is from RefSeq and is a predicted model, not a curated record. The transcript has 2 exons. Lineage: Eukaryota; Metazoa; Chordata; Actinopteri; Centrarchiformes; Sinipercidae.
GCUUGACUCUUACUAGUUUGCACCCAGACAGCUCCUCCAGCAGAGUCAUCAGUAUUCUGCCGUCCUGAAUGUCUGUGAACAGGUCGUGCACUUCAACUGGAGGAUCACGCUGGAAAUAACAAAUCGUAAAACCUUAUAGAAACGCAUUCAUCCACCUGGUGAAGGUUCUCCUCUGCACUGCCUUCCUCUCAUCUGGGGAAGAGAAAACAGGGACUUGGCACAGAAAAUCCUGCAGUUUUCCAACUGAACACUGUUUCAAAAUGUGUCGAACAUGAUAAGCAGGAAGAGUCUGACAGUACAUGGGGAAAUGGCACAUAUGUGUUAGCCCCAAAAGACUGCGGAAGAUGAAGAUAUUUGAGAUGAGCAACUUUGUAUAAUGUAUUUUACAUACAACACACAUCCCAAUAGAGUAUUUUAGAAGCAACUCAUUAACAAGUGAAGACAUUGUGUAUGAUUGGGCAAUCAGAUGUCAUAAUGCCAAAGACACCUACUGGGAAAAUGACUAUAAUUCCAUUUCCAUUUUAUUUAUAUAGCGCCAAUUCAUAACAGAAGUUAUCUCAUUGCACUUUUCCUAUAGAGCAGGUCUGGACCGUACUCUUUAUAAUAUGAUUUACAGAGACCCAACAAAUCCCACCAUUAAUAAGGAAAUUCAUUUAAGGGAGGAAAAGACAAACAAAUGUUGUCUUGCAAAGUGUUCUCUUUUCAAAAGUACAGUAGUUGUUCUUGUAUAUACAGUGAUUUAACAUAUUAUUAUCACACAGUGGGUGAGUAUUAACCAUCAGCAUAAGACAGUAUUUCUUGUCACAGUACCUUGAGUCAUGUUGAUCACUGAUGUCUCCCACUGAUUUCUUUUGUGAAUCCCACUUAGCCUUGUCCUGCAUUCUCAUUUAACUUCACACUUCCGCUUAUGAUCCAUUGUGGAGAUAAUACGGGGGAACAGUUCAAAAUGUCAGGCACUUGUAGCAAUUAGAGGUGCUCUGAGGUUUCCUAACAGAAUAAGGAUGAAGAAAAGGCAAAGCGAAGCAGUGUGUCUUGCCUGGACACGCUGAAACCUCCCUCCCAGGUGUUGAUCAACUCUAGCUUCCACUCCCCUGAGACAACUCAACCUAGAUCCUAUUGGCAGGCUGCGAUUCAUGAAAUUCUUUCUGCGGAGGCAAUCGCAUAAAGUCCUUAACCGUUAAAAUGAAGAAAUCAGCUGGGAUCACUGUGUUAGGUUACAGGUUGUACAGUUUUACUGCAGAGGCCUGUAAUAAAUCUUUCUGACUCUCAUAACAGUGAUUCACUGACAGAAGCAUGUUCAGCUCAGACGUGACUGAAUAGUCUGACUUUCACAACAGAUAUGAGCAGAUGCAGCCAAGGCUUUUACUGAGGUCAUUUUAAAGCCUUUGCACAUAAAAAAACCCCAAUAUGUGUUAUCAACAGCUGACGUCGCCAUCUUAUAUCAGGCCUUUACAGGCAUGUUAUGCCUUUUUAGAUAGCGACAGCAGAGAAAUGACAGGAAAUGAGGGGAGAGUAAGACGGGGUAUAACAUGAAACAAAGGCGAACCAGGGACGUUGCAGUUCAUCGUCAGCGCCUUAAGCAGGCAUUCAGACCCAAAACAGUCUUGUGUUAAAACAGCUCAGGGGGCUGUGUUGGUGGGGGCGUGA